RNAcentral lists this non-coding RNA (160 nucleotides) under Anolis carolinensis (green anole). RNAcentral describes it as "Eukaryotic large subunit ribosomal RNA". It matches the Rfam family "Eukaryotic large subunit ribosomal RNA", at positions 2825 to 2984 of the family's 3401-position model. Lineage: Eukaryota; Metazoa; Chordata; Lepidosauria; Squamata; Anolidae. The record is from Rfam by way of RNAcentral.
GAUAACUGGCUUGUGGCAGCCAAGCAUUCAUAGCAUUGUCGCUUUUUGAUUCUUCAGUGUUGGCUCUUCCUAUCAUUGUGAAGCAGAAUUUAUCAAGCAUUGGAUUGUUCACCCACUAAAAGGGAAUGUGAGCUGAGUUUAGACCAUUGUUAGACAGCUU